GUACUAUUAGUUCAGUUGGUUAGAACGUCGGAUUGUGGUUCCGAAGGUCGUCAGUUCGAAUCUGACAUGGUACC
RNAcentral lists this transfer RNA (74 nucleotides) under Bacteroidales bacterium. RNAcentral describes it as "tRNA-His". It matches the Rfam family "tRNA". Rfam says of the family: Transfer RNA (tRNA) molecules are approximately 80 nucleotides in length. Their secondary structure includes four short double-helical elements and three loops (D, anti-codon, and T loops). RNAcentral also lists the same sequence under 1 other name. The record is from RNAcentral. Lineage: Bacteria; Pseudomonadati; Bacteroidota; Bacteroidia; Bacteroidales.